UGAUAAAAAUUUCAUCCAUUUGUACUGUUAAAAACUGACACGACUGAUAGAAUAACCAGACAGUGAUAUUUGACAUGCGACGUUACCUCAUAUGAAUGCACAGUAUGGCUGACAGAAUAACCAGAUACUGACAUAUAACAUGCCACGCAUAUCUCAUGCUGAUAUAUAGAGAUUGAUUUUUAAGAAUAAAAAUAUAUGAAAUUUUUAACA
Molecule: non-coding RNA, 210 nt
Organism: Gossypium raimondii (Peruvian cotton)
Lineage: Eukaryota; Viridiplantae; Streptophyta; Magnoliopsida; Malvales; Malvaceae
Source: Rfam